RNAcentral lists this ribosomal RNA (350 nucleotides) under Tetraclita japonica (Japanese acorn barnacle). Its description in RNAcentral is "partial 16S ribosomal RNA". It matches the Rfam family "Bacterial large subunit ribosomal RNA", at positions 1955 to 2513 of the family's 2925-position model. Lineage: Eukaryota; Metazoa; Arthropoda; Thecostraca; Balanomorpha; Tetraclitidae. The record is from RNAcentral.
GGUAGCAUAAUCAUUAGUCUUUUAAUUGGAGACUGGUAUGAAUGGUUAAACGAGAAAUCAACGUUUUUUGCUAUAAAGAUUGAAUUUAAUUUUUUAGUGAAAAAGCUAAAAUUUUUCAGAAAGACGAGAAGACCCUAUAGAGUUUUAUAUCACGAAUAAUUUUCUUUUAGUAGGUUUUUUUGGAUAAAAUUUUUUUGUGAUAUUUUGUUGGGGCGACAUUAAGAUAAGAAAAACUCUUUAUUUUGAAAACUUUACUAAAAGAAUUAACUGAUCCUUUAGAAGAGAUCAUAAGAAAAAAAUUACCUUAGGGAUAACAGCGUAAUCUUUUUUGAGAGUUCUAAUCGACAAAA